Molecule: ribosomal RNA, 502 nt
Filed under: uncultured bacterium
Lineage: Bacteria
Description: partial 16S ribosomal RNA
Rfam family: Bacterial small subunit ribosomal RNA
Source: RNAcentral
GAUGAACGCUAGCGGCAGGCCUAACACAUGCAAGUCGAGGGGCAGCACAGAAACAGCAAUAUUUUGGUGGCGACAGGCGGACGGGAGCGUAACGCGUAUGCAACCUACCUUUAACAGGGCGAUAACGGAGAGAAAUUGCCACAAAUACCCCAUAACAUCGAUCAAGACAUCUUGAUUGGUUGAAAACUGCGGUGGUUAACGAUGGGCAUGCGUCGUAUUAGGUAGUUGGUGAGGUAAUGGCUCACCAAGCCUACGAUACAUAGGGGGACUGAGAGGUUAGCCGCCGACACUGGUAGGGGGACACGGACCAGAGUCCUGCGGGAGGGAGCAGUGAGGGACAUUGGUCAAUAGGGGCAACCAUUAACCAGCCAGGCAGAGUGCAGGAAGACGGCGCUGUGAGUUGGAAGCUGCGUUUAAACAGGGAUAAAGCACAGAGUGUAUACUGUGUUGAAGGUACUGUAAGAAUAAGGAUCGGCUAACUCCGUGCCAGCAGCCGCCGUAA